RNAcentral lists this long non-coding RNA (1653 nucleotides) under Sparus aurata (gilthead seabream). RNAcentral describes it as "lncRNA (ENSSAUG00010006806.1)". Lineage: Eukaryota; Metazoa; Chordata; Actinopteri; Spariformes; Sparidae. The record is from RNAcentral.
ACACACACCAUGUUGCACCGUCAUGUUUAACCCCCCUCCCCCUCCUCUUCCCCCCCCCCCCCCACUGCUGCAGAAUGGACUGGUCCAGAGAGAGAGAGGGAGGGAGGGAGAGAGACACUGACAGGUAAUGGGCUGAAACUCAUGGAGAGAGAGAGAGAGAGAGAGAGAGAGAGAGAGAGAGAGGCACACUGCUGCUAUCACACACACACACACACACACACACACAGCGGGACUAUAUUUGGGCUGAGCGCAGUAGAACAGUUGAUGACGGAGCUGCUGGAUGUUUCUGACGGACACCGGCACCAACAGACAGACCGCUGAGCUGAAGAAUCUGAGCUGCAGAGAAACUCCAGCCUGAAGAUGUGAGUCGACUUUAUAUUCUGAUUUAUUCAACAUCAUUUAGUCGUCGGCCUCUCAAAGUUUAAAGUCAAAUUCACAAAAAACAUCGAUGCACUAAUCUUCUUUUUUUAAACAAAUCUUUUUGGGACAACCAGGUCUGUUUAAAAAUGAAGAAAUCAUUCAGUAAUUCAUUGUGUUUAUUGAUUAAUGAGGCAUUCAGUCACAAGAUAUGAAAUGAAAUAUGAAAUUAGAAAUGAUCAGUGAGAACUACACAGAUCAAAAGUGAUGAAAUGAACCUUUAACACUAUAAAACUUAAACCCUGUUCACCAAUUCUGUCUGAAUAUGUGAGAUAUUUUAGGAUCCACAUCUUAAUACUGAUCAUAUGUCAUCACAGGCUGAUAUAUAGAACAUUUUGUUCAUGAAAAGCACAACACACAUGUUUGUUUUUACGGCUGUUUGUUCUGAUUACUGAAUGAAAAAAGGAGAUAUUAUAUCUUUAAAUGUCAACAACAUGGAAGAAGAAGUUUGAACUUCGUGUUUCUGAUGAUUUUAAAUUGAAUACUGUCUCAUUUUCUGUGAUUCUUCUGAUGAUUCGAACGAGAACAGACUGCUGGUUUUAUAUAGUUAUCAUUAACGCGUGCGCUGAUCCGAUGGUCCGAUCACAUAUAGAAACAUGACAUCAUCGGUCCGUCCUGCGGUCGCACGCACACCCGGCAGAACAGCCGGUUCUGGUGUCGUACCGCUUUUGUCCAAAGGAGGAGCCAGAACCAGCAAAAGCUGAAAGUUCCUGGUUGUCCCUUUAAGAACAGUUCUGGAGUUAAACUGUGGAGGAGGAGGGCAGGAACCGAUACCGGCCUCCUCCACUGUAUUGAUCCAGUUAUGUAUUGAUCAGAUUGUAAUUGAUCUCUCUCCAGACGCAGACGCAGAUGUUUUCCUCUCACACUGAAGGCAGAAUAAAAUACCCUGAAUUCAUCUGAUUUAAGUGAAACUGGAUCUUUCUCUGACACAGUGUGUUUGAUCGGAUGUGAAGCCGCCUCGUCACAUUAUCAUAAAACAGAACUAUAAACAGUUCAGUGGACAGAGUGAGUUGAACCUGCUCAACACACUCAGACUGUUCUCGUCCGGUCGGCUGCGGUGGAAGAAGAACUCAGAAAUAUUAAAGAUAUAAAAGUAAAUGAACAUUCAUGCAGAAAUCCUCCAGUGUCAGACUGAAACUGUCACAUUUUAACAGAUUAAUUAUUCAGUGACAGCAGACACCAGCAGAGAUCAAUAACACAGCACACAGAAAUAUGUGUGUGCAGAGAAGAGAAAAG